RNAcentral lists this ribosomal RNA (330 nucleotides) under uncultured Allapsidae. Its description in RNAcentral is "SSU rRNA". The stretch from base 56 to 330 matches the Rfam family "Eukaryotic small subunit ribosomal RNA", at positions 684 to 955 of the family's 1831-position model. Lineage: Eukaryota; Cercozoa; Glissomonadida; Viridiraptoridae. The record is from RNAcentral.
GAUUUCUGGCUUGAUGUACCUGUCCCUCUUGGGUUAACCAGGCUGUGUGACGGAGUAUGUCUGCCAUCCUUCUAGAGAAUACAAGCUAUCCUUCACUGGACCGGUUUGUGUCAUCUAGAUCUUUUACUUUGAAAAAAUUAGAGUGUUUCAAGCAGGCAUGUUUUGCUAUGAAUACAUUAGCAUGGAAUAAUAAUCUAGGACUUUCGGUUCUAUUUUGUUGGUGUUCUGGAGCUGAAGUAAUGAUUGAUAGGGAUAGUUGGGGGUGCUAGUAUUCAAUGGCCAGAGGUGAAAUUCUCGGAUUCCUUGAAGACUAACUUAUGCGAAAGCAUU